CCAAUAGCGUAUAUUAAAGUUGUUGCAGUUAAAAAGCUCGUAGUUGAAUUUCGGGAUCAGUACGCCGGUCGUGCCUUCGGUAUGUACUGGUGUUACUGGUUCCUACCUUCUGACGAACCGUCAUGUCAUUAAUUUGGUGUGGCGGGGAAUCAGGACUGUUACUUUGAAAAAAUUAGAGUGUUUAAAGCAGGCUCGCGCUUGAAUACAUUAGCUUGGAAUAAUGAAAUAGGACGUUCGAUCCUAUUUUGUUGGUUUCUAGGAUUGACGUAAUGAUUAAUAGGGAUAGUGGGGGGCAUUAGUAUUCAAUUGUCAGAUGUGAAAUUCUUGGAUUUAUUGAAGACUAACUACUGCGAAAGCAUUUGCCAAGGAUGUUUUCAUUAAUCAAGAACGAAAGUUAGGGGAUCGAAGACGAUCAGAUACCGUCGUAGUCUUAACCAUAAACUAUGCCGACUAGGGAUCGGAUGAUGUUAUUUUUAAUGACUCAUUCGGCGCCUUACG
Molecule: ribosomal RNA, 498 nt
Filed under: uncultured Glomeromycotina
Lineage: Eukaryota; Fungi; Glomeromycota
Description: partial small subunit ribosomal RNA
Rfam family: Eukaryotic small subunit ribosomal RNA
Source: RNAcentral